Molecule: long non-coding RNA, 206 nt
Organism: Thalassophryne amazonica
Lineage: Eukaryota; Metazoa; Chordata; Actinopteri; Batrachoidiformes; Batrachoididae
Exons: 3
Source: RefSeq, a predicted model, not a curated record
UGUUUUGUUGAUUGUGGAAGAGAAGAAAAUACAUGAUGGCGGUACGCAACUCCGGGCUGUUCAUGUGUUGAGCCAAUGUUGAACUUUAUAACAUUGUUGCCUUGAACAAGAUUUGCCGUUUUUUACAACAGCCUGAAGAGGGCAAUGGUCAGAGGCCAUUCUCCAAAUAAACCAGCACAAAAGGAUAUAAAGUCUGAUUAUUUGAA